This 473-nucleotide ribosomal RNA is filed under the name Cystiscus sp. MNHN-IM-2013-40705. RNAcentral's name for it is "partial 16S ribosomal RNA". It matches the Rfam family "Bacterial large subunit ribosomal RNA", at positions 1845 to 2598 of the family's 2925-position model. The record is from RNAcentral. Lineage: Eukaryota; Metazoa; Mollusca; Gastropoda; Neogastropoda; Cystiscidae.
AUAGGGAGUCAGACCUGCCCAAUGAUAUGUUGAAUGGCCGCGGUACCCUGACUGUGCAAAGGUAGCAUAAUAAUUUGCCCUAUAAUUGAGGGCUGGAAUGAAUGGUUUGACAAGAGCACUACUGUCUCCUUUUAGUUUAUUAGAAUUUAAUUUCUAGGUGAAGAAGCAUAGAUUUAAUUAAAAGACGAGAAGACCCUAUUGAGCUUUAGCUCAGAAUGUAGGGAAGAAUAAUAUUACAUUGGGAGUUUUGGUUGGGGCGACAGAUGAACAGUUAAAGCUUCUUUUAUAAAUUAAAACUUGCAGGUAUUGACCCAGAAUUUUUGGUUGAAGGAUUAAGUUACCAUAGGGAUAACAGCAUAAUCCUCUUGGAGAGUUCAUAUCAAUAAGGGGGUUUGUGACCUCGAUGUUGGACCAAAAUAACCUUUAGGUGUAGUGGCCUAAAAGGGUUGGUCUGUUCGACCAUUAAAAUUUUA